RNAcentral lists this ribosomal RNA (252 nucleotides) under uncultured bacterium. Its description in RNAcentral is "partial 16S ribosomal RNA". It matches the Rfam family "Bacterial small subunit ribosomal RNA", at positions 524 to 776 of the family's 1533-position model. The record is from RNAcentral.
UACGUAGGUGGCAAGCGUUGUCCGGAUUUACUGGGCGUAAAGGGCGUGCAGGCGGUCUGUUAAGUUCAGGGUGAAAGCUCCCGGCUCAACUGGGAGAGGUCCUUGGAUACUGGCAGACUUGAGGAGGGUAGAGGAGAGUGGAAUUCCUGGUGUAGCGGUGAAAUGCGUAGAUAUCGGAAGGAACACCAGUGGCGAAAGCGGCUUCCUGGUCCGACACCGACGUCAGGCACGAAAGCGUGGGGAGCAAACAGG